Eurytemora carolleeae is the source of this 760-nucleotide long non-coding RNA. RefSeq lists it as uncharacterized. The transcript is spliced from 7 exons. The record is from RefSeq and is a predicted model, not a curated record. NCBI's taxonomy places the organism in Eukaryota, Metazoa, Arthropoda, Copepoda, Calanoida, Temoridae.
CCUAGAAAUAAUAUUUAGUGCGGUAUCCUAGAAAUAAUAUUUAGUGCGGUAUCCUAGAAAACCAAUCUUCACAACGAGCUGUAUUCUUGUUGGCCUCGGUUUGGCAGGUCUUGGAGCCUCUAUCAUUUUUAACCCUGCUAAAUCUGAAUUGUUUCAACCUGACACAAAUUCAUUAAAUUUGACCCUCACCACAAUUCCAGAAGUUAUUGAGGAGUCGAGUCUGAUCAAUUUCUUGCCUAUUUUCUGUUUUUGCACAGCAGCAUUUGCAGUUUGUUUUGGGUUGAGUCCAAUACCUUGGGCGUAUAGUAAUGAAUUGUUCCCACUAGAUGUCAGAUCCCAGCUUUCCGGUUUAACAGCCAGCUUUGUUCAGAUUAUUGCAUUUGCUCAGGUAAAAACUUUCCCAGCUCUGAGUGAAUGGGUCGGUAUUGGUGAAGCUAUUAUUUUCUGUGCAGCAGUAUCGUUUCUAGCAGCUGUCUGGGGGAUUGUCGUGCUACCUGAAACUAAAGGGAAAACCUUGCAUCAAAUAAACCGAAUGUUCUUUACUGAAGACCAGCUAAAGAUGAAGAUUAAAGAAGUUGAUGUUCAUAUGGAUGUAAUUAACCGUAAUGUAACUGCUUAAACUGUAAUUUUCAAGUUGUAUGGCAGGAUAUUAUCAUAAAAGUAAAUGUAGGCAAAAGUUCAUUCAGUGGCCGAAUUUAAUGAAUUUGAGCGGCGGUUUAAAUUCAAGCCGCGGCUUAAAUAUGGUUGAUUCCACUUAAAA